GAUGAACGCUAGCGGCAGGCCUAAUACAUGCAAGUCGAACGGGAUCUGAGGGUAGCUUGCUACCCGAUUUGAGAGUGGCGCACGGGUGCGUAACGCGUGAGCAACCUACCCAUAUCAGGGGGAUAGCCCGAAGAAAUUCGGAUUAACACCGCAUAAUAAUACGCUAACACAUGUUGAUGUAUUUAAAUAUUUAUAGGAUAUGGAUGGGCUCGCGUGACAUUAGCUAGUUGGUAAGGUAACGGCUUACCAAGGCGACGAUGUCUAGGGGCUCUGAGGGGAGAAUCCCCCACACUGGAACUGAGACACGGACCAGACUCCUACGGGAGGAAGCAGUAAGGAAUAUUGGUCAAUGGGCGCAAGCCUGAACCAGCCAUGCCGCGUGCAGGAUGACUGCCCUAUGGGUUGUAAACUGCUUUUGUUAGGGAAUAAAGUGAGCCUCGUGAGGCUUUUUGCAUGUACCUUAUGAAUAAGGACCGGCUAAUUCCGUGCCAGCCGCCGCAGUAA
RNAcentral lists this ribosomal RNA (504 nucleotides) under uncultured bacterium. RNAcentral's name for it is "partial 16S ribosomal RNA". It matches the Rfam family "Bacterial small subunit ribosomal RNA", at positions 28 to 523 of the family's 1533-position model. The record is from RNAcentral.